AUUGAACGCUGGCGGCAUGCCUUACACAUGCAAGUCGAACGGCAGCACGGGGCAACCUGGUGGCGAGUGGCGAACGGGUGAGUAAUGCAUCGGAACGUGCCAUUGAGUGGGGGAUAACGUAGAGAAAGUUGCGCUAAUACCGCAUAUUCUGUGAGCAGGAAAGCAGGGGACCGCAAGGCCUUGCGCUCUUUGAGCGGCCGAUGUCAGAUUAGCUAGUUGGUGAGGUAACGGCUUACCAAGGCGACGAUCUGUAGCGGGUCUGAGAGGAUGAUCCGCCACACUGGAACUGAGACACGGUCCAGACUCCUACGGGAGGCAGCAGUGGGGAAUUUUGGACAAUGGGCGCAAGCCUGAUCCAGCCAUGCCGCGUGAGUGAAGAAGGCC
This 384-nucleotide ribosomal RNA is filed under the name uncultured bacterium. RNAcentral's name for it is "bacterial SSU rRNA". It matches the Rfam family "Bacterial small subunit ribosomal RNA", at positions 30 to 416 of the family's 1533-position model. The record is from RNAcentral.